This 779-nucleotide ribosomal RNA is filed under the name uncultured bacterium. Its description in RNAcentral is "bacterial SSU rRNA". It matches the Rfam family "Bacterial small subunit ribosomal RNA", at positions 13 to 786 of the family's 1533-position model. The record is from RNAcentral.
UUGAUCAUGGCUCAGAUUGAACGCUGGCGGCAGGCUUAACACAUGCAAGUCGAGCGGAGAGAGGUAGCUUGCUACUGAUCUUAGCGGCGGACGGGUGAGUAAUACUUAGGAAUCUGGCUAUUAGUGGGGGACAACAUUUCGAAAGGGAUGCUAAUACCGCAUACGUCCUACGGGAGAAAGCAGGGGAUCUUCGGACCUUGCGCUAAUAGAUGAGCCUAAGUCGGAUUAGCUAGUUGGUGGGGUAAAGGCCUACCAAGGCGACGAUCUGUAGCGGGUCUGAGAGGAUGAUCCGCCACACUGGGACUGAGACACGGCCCAGACUCCUACGGGAGGCAGCAGUGGGGAAUAUUGGACAAUGGGGGGAACCCUGAUCCAGCCAUGCCGCGUGUGUGAAGAAGGCCUUAUGGUUGUAAAGCACUUUAAGCGAGGAGGAGGGUACUGGUAUUAAUACUACCAGGUACUGGACGUUACUCGCAGAAUAAGCACCGGCUAACUCUGUGCCAGCAGCCGCGGUAAUACAGAGGGUGCGAGCGUUAAUCGGAUUUACUGGGCGUAAAGCGUGCGUAGGCGGCUAAUUGAGUCGGAUGUGAAAUCCCCGAGCUUAACUUGGGAAUUGCAUUCGAUACUGGUUAGCUAGAGUGUGGGAGAGGAUGGUAGAAUUCCAGGCGUAGCGGUGAAAUGCGUAGAGAUCUGGAGGAAUACCGAUGGCGAAGGCAGCCAUCUGGCCUAACACUGACGCUGAGGUACGAAAGCAUGGGGAGCAAACAGGAUUAGAUACC